This is a non-coding RNA of Elaeis guineensis (African oil palm), 1018 nucleotides long. NCBI's taxonomy places the organism in Eukaryota, Viridiplantae, Streptophyta, Magnoliopsida, Arecales, Arecaceae. The record is from RefSeq and is a predicted model, not a curated record.
UUUUUUAUCAUGUAUAAAUAACUGAUUUUAAGCUAUGCCACAAAGAGGAUCAUCUGAUGGGGGGACCCAUACGGAGAUGUUGGUACCUCCUCGUCUUAGCAGCUGUCUACCGAGGCAGGCACAUCAUCUCCUAUCACGAUAGCUAAUACUAUCAUUAGACGAACUCGUGAAGUCAUAAGAAAUGAGAAGUUGGAGGAGUGGAGGAGGGCACAUCUUGGGGAGAGGAUGAGGGUUAUCAUCCCAUCAGGAUAUGAUCUACCACUUCAGUGCCACAUCAGGGAUUCAUACGUGUGCGAGGUUGGCAUUAUUAUCCGAGCGUACACUCUCUUGACUAUGUUCGACUGGUGGAGAGUGACAAAGCCAUAGAAGCAGAUCCUCCUUGAUCAUUUAUAGGUAACUAAAUAUAAAUUAUGAUAUAUUUUUUAAAUACAGAUCUUUCUAUUUUUUUAUAUUUAAUUUGAUAAUUAUUUAACUUUUAUUUUUUUAAAUAUCAUACAUUGUACGUUAUUUGUACAGCACGACUUUGAGAUCGAGGAGAUUAAUACCCAAUGUGUGCGGGGGGCUAUCCUUAGGCAUAUGGGGAGGUUGCUUAAGGGGUUCAGAUAUAAGCUCCAUAGCCACUGGAAGGAAGUCUUCAAUGCACGUGGGGCAGUGGUAGCACAUAAGACACCCCAUAAGAAUGUUUCAUGCCUUAACUAGAAUCUCCUAUGCAACAAGUACGAGGACCCUGUAUACCGAAUAUAACUAUUAUAUAUAAUAAAAAUAUCAAUUAUUGAAUUGAUAUGGUAUUGUAAUAUGUUCACUCAUAUCGUGAAUGUAUUUGCUUAUUAGGCUUUUUGUCAAAAGAAUACAGAGAAUCGAUCGAGGCUCACGGUGAUGCAUUGUGGCGGAUCGAAGUCAUUUGCGCAGCAUUAGUAUGAGCUGAGGGACAUCGAGACAGGACAGCUGUUGGGAUGGAUUGAAGUCUACCAAAAGACCCAUCAUUGGGCGAUGGGGGAGUGGCUUCUUAGGACUAGGG